This 973-nucleotide ribosomal RNA is filed under the name metagenome. RNAcentral describes it as "bacterial LSU rRNA". It matches the Rfam family "Bacterial large subunit ribosomal RNA", at positions 1953 to 2925 of the family's 2925-position model. The record is from RNAcentral.
AAGGUAGCGAAAUUCCUUGUCGGGUAAGUUCCGACCUGCACGAAUGGCGUAACGAUCUCCACACUGUCUCGGCCAGAGACUCGGUGAAAUUGCAGUCGCGGUGAAAAUUCCGUGUACCCGCAGAAAGACGGAAAGACCCUGUGCACCUUUACUAUAGCUUGACAUUGGAUUUUGGGCCUGCAUGUGUAGGAUAGGUGGGAGGCUGUGAACCCUGUACGCCAGUAUGGGGGGAGCCAUCCUUGAAAUACCACCCUUGCAUGUUUAAGAUCCUAACUUCUUCCGGUUAUCCCGGAGAAAGACAGUGUCUGGCGGGUAGUUUGACUGGGGCGGUCGCCUCCUAAAGUGUAACGGAGGCAUGCAAAGGUUCCCUCAGCCUGAUCGGAAACCAGGCGCUGAGUGCAAACGCAUAAGGGAGCUUGACUGUAAGAGAGACAUCUCGAACAGGAACGAAAGUUGGCGUUAGUGAUCCGGUGGUCCCGAAUGGAAGGGCCAUCGCUCAUUGGAUAAAAGGUACGCCGGGGAUAACAGGCUGAUCGCAUCCAAGAGUUCACAUCGACGAUGCGGUUUGGCACCUCGAUGUCGGCUCAUCACAUCCUGGGGCUGAAGUAGGUCCCAAGGGUUGGGCUGUUCGCCCAUUAAAGUGGUACGCGAGCUGGGUUCAGAACGUCGUGAGACAGUUCGGUCCCUAUCCAUCGCGGGCGUAAGAAACUUGAAAGGGGCUGCUCCUAGUACGAGAGGACCGGAGUGGACCGACCAAUGGUGUACCAGUCAUGGCGCCAGCCGUGCAGCUGGGUAGCUACGUCGGGGACGGAUAAACGCUGAAAGCAUCUAAGCGUGAAACCAGCCUAGAGAUGAGGUUUCUCAUUGCGCAAGCAAGUAAGGUCCCACAGAGACGAUGUGGUUGAUAGGCCGGGAGUGGAAGUACAGUGAUGUAUGGAGCGGACCGGUACUAAUAGACCGAGGACUUGACUUA